RNAcentral lists this ribosomal RNA (303 nucleotides) under uncultured bacterium. Its description in RNAcentral is "partial 16S ribosomal RNA". It matches the Rfam family "Bacterial small subunit ribosomal RNA", at positions 507 to 807 of the family's 1533-position model. The record is from RNAcentral.
AGCAGUCGCCGCGGUAAAACGUAGGUGGCAUGCGUUGUCCGGAAUUAUUGGGCGUAAAGGGCUCGCAGGCGGUUUCUUAAGUCUGAUGUGAAAGCCCCCGGCUCAACCGGGGAGGGUCACUGGAAACUGGGAAACGUGAGUGCAGAAGAGGAGAGUGGAAUUCCACGUGUAGCGGUGAAAUGCGUAGAGAUGUGGAGGUACACCAGUGGCGAAGGCGACUCUCUGGUCUGUAACUGACGCUGAGGAGCGAAAGCGUGGGGAGCGAAUAGGAUUAGAUACCCCUGUAGUCCCUGUCUCUUAUAC